This 689-nucleotide long non-coding RNA is filed under the name Carica papaya (papaya). RNAcentral's name for it is "long non-coding RNA (CPAP_LNC008877)". Lineage: Eukaryota; Viridiplantae; Streptophyta; Magnoliopsida; Brassicales; Caricaceae. The record is from RNAcentral.
GAAAUACAUUGAAGCAGACAAAAAGUAAAUGAUGAAAUUACCACUGUAGAAAUAGACAACCACUCACAAGGAAACACCAUUACGUCCAAAAAAGUCAUCACCACAUGCUAGAACAAAAACCACUGCGCUUGGAAAACUCCAUGCACUCCCAUACUUACUGCUACUAGAAUCUCACGCGCUGCUGCUGAAACCACCACGCACUGCCGGUGGAACCGUUGCAAGCAGCCGCGAUUUGACUGAAAAUCACCACAGAUCCGUGGUGUACUCAGAUCUGUGGUGUGUUAAGAUCCGUAACGGAUCUUGUGAAAUCGCGCGAUAAAUGCUAUUGAUCUGGCUUCACAACAUGUUGUCGUCUCGCCUCUCCUCUUCGUGCAAAUCUGGUGGGGUCUAGGACAGAUUGCUUUCGUCGCUUCGUCUUUUCCCAAUCGCGUGAUCCGUCUGCUCCAAGUUGGAUCUAUAUAUGAUAGCAACAUAAAUCACCAUACUAAUUUGUUGCCUAUAAUUACAAUAAUAUAUAAGAAAACAACUAUUCAUUACAUGAGAAAUUCUGUGAUGUAUUCUAUAAUCUUGUAACAAUCAUAAACAAUAAGAUAAAUUAUGAUAAAUAAAUAAUCAUAGAUAAUAAUAAAGUAAAUAACAACAAUAUUGAUACUAACAAAUAUAAUCACACGGAAUUACAUAGAGCAAAU